UGGGGAAUUUUGGACAAUGGGCGCAAGCCUGAUCCAGCCAUGCCGCGUGCGGGAAGAAGGCCUUCGGGUUGUAAACCGCUUUUGUCAGGGAAGAAAUCUUCUGAGUUAAUACCUCGGGAGGAUGACGGUACCUGAAGAAUAAGCACCGGCUAACUACGUGCCAGCAGCCGCGGUAAUACGUAGGGUGCAAGCGUUAAUCGGAAUUACUGGGCGUAAAGCGUGCGCAGGCGGUUUUGUAAGACAGAGGUGAAAUCCCCGGGCUCAACCUGGGAACUGCCUUUGUGACUGCAAGGCUUGAGUGCGGCAGAGGGGGAUGGAAUUCCGCGUGUAGCAGUGAAAUGCGUAGAUAUGCGGAGGAACACCGAUGGCGAAGGCAAUCCCCUGGGCCUGCACUGACGCUCAUGCACGAAAGCGUGGGGAGCAAACAGGAUUAGAUACCCUGGUAGUCCACGCCCUAAACGAUGUCAACUGGUUGUUGGGAAGGUUCCUUCUCAGUAACGUAGCUAACGCGUGAAGUUGACCGCCUGGGGAGUACGGCCGCAAGGUUGAAACUUAAAUGAAUUGACGGGGGU
This 572-nucleotide ribosomal RNA is filed under the name uncultured bacterium. Its description in RNAcentral is "partial 16S ribosomal RNA". It matches the Rfam family "Bacterial small subunit ribosomal RNA", at positions 355 to 920 of the family's 1533-position model. The record is from RNAcentral.